ACAGGUAGUACGCCGUGUCCGGGCAACCGGACCGGCUCGGGGUGAAGCCGCGUGAAAGCGCGGCCGGGCAUCUCCAGCCCGAACCCGACAGCUCACCUCGCAGGCGCCGGAGAGGAAAA
Molecule: small RNA, 119 nt
Filed under: Streptomyces uncialis
Lineage: Bacteria; Bacillati; Actinomycetota; Actinomycetes; Kitasatosporales; Streptomycetaceae
Description: c-di-AMP sequence
Rfam family: c-di-AMP riboswitch aptamer (ydaO/yuaA leader)
About the family: This family represents a conserved RNA structure found upstream of the ydaO and yuaA genes in Bacillus subtilis and related genes in other bacteria. The ydaO/yuaA element is thought to act as a genetic "off" switch for the ydaO and yuaA genes in its native state.
Source: RNAcentral